RNAcentral lists this small RNA (28 nucleotides) under Bombyx mori (domestic silkworm). RNAcentral describes it as "ovarian small RNA-36906". The record is from RNAcentral. Lineage: Eukaryota; Metazoa; Arthropoda; Insecta; Lepidoptera; Bombycidae.
UUAUUGGCGGGUGUCGGCGCAGUUCCUC